RNAcentral lists this ribosomal RNA (492 nucleotides) under Mesorhizobium sp. RNAcentral's name for it is "partial 23S ribosomal RNA". It matches the Rfam family "Bacterial large subunit ribosomal RNA", at positions 1145 to 1647 of the family's 2925-position model. The record is from RNAcentral. Lineage: Bacteria; Pseudomonadati; Pseudomonadota; Alphaproteobacteria; Hyphomicrobiales; Phyllobacteriaceae.
CUGAUCGAGUCGUCCUGCGCGGAAGAUGUAACGGGGCUAAGCCAGUCACCGAAGCUGCGGAUAUGUCUUUGACAUAUGGUAGGAGAGCGUUCUGUAAGCCUGCGAAGGUGUCUUGUAAAGGAUGCUGGAGGUAUCAGAAGUGCGAAUGCUGACAUGAGUAGCGAUAAUGCGGGUGAAAAGCCCGCACGCCGUAAGCCCAAGGUUUCCUGUUCAACGUUCAUCGGAGCAGGGUGAGUCGGCCCCUAAGGCGAGGCAGAGAUGCGUAGCUGAUGGGAAGCAGGUUAAUAUUCCUGCACCGUCGUAUGAUGCGAUGGGGGGACGGAUCGCGGAAGGUUGUCCAGCUGUUGGAAUAGCUGGUUUCUGGUUCAUAGAAGGCGCUUAGGCAAAUCCGGGCGCGGAAUUCAAGGGACUGGGACGUGCACUCUUGUAGUGCGAAGCAAUCGGAAGUGGUUCCAAGAAAAGCCUCUAAGCUUCAGUCAUACGAGACCGUAC